Molecule: non-coding RNA, 205 nt
Filed under: Streptomyces albireticuli
Lineage: Bacteria; Bacillati; Actinomycetota; Actinomycetes; Kitasatosporales; Streptomycetaceae
Description: Streptomyces RNA 1601
Rfam family: Streptomyces RNA 1601
About the family: Identified by deep sequencing of transcriptome at the end of exponential growth phase. Appears longer on northern blot than sequencing transcript. Streptomyces specific.
Source: Rfam by way of RNAcentral
CAUGACCGGCUGGACACUCUCGUGCCCGGCCCACAAGUGGAGGCUCCGUUCUCCCACCUGGUCGGCUUCAGGCCGGCAGGUCUCCGGUCAGGCGGCGCCCAUCGUUCCGUACGGACGAUGGAGCUGCCCGAUAUGCCCCGCGGAUCGCACCGCGGCGUUCCGGUAUUUAUGGAGCCCCGCCUGUGUCCCGUCCGGGGCAUUUUUU